GGCAAGCACAAGUACUAUUCAGACACAAAUACAUGCAUGGUUAUAUAUAUCUAUGUAUAUACACCUCAAUUUGGGUAUAGAGCGCAUGGAGGCCACGAGAACGAUAGAAGAAAUCGACCGCGUCAUUAAGGCCAGAAUCGUUGGGUGCCUCUGUGGGCCUCUGUAGGGCCCCUCCGAUGGCUUGUUUCCCUCCUUUCAAAUCACCCGAUACACAUCCUCCCAUCUCUCCCUGUAUCUCUCGCUAAACUAGAAUCAAUGUGAAAGAAAAACCAGAAAAAUCUCUUCUAAAGCGCUGCAACAACCUAAUUCUCGCGUUCUACUGUUGUAUUAGUUGCCAAAAAUUCAAAUAAAA
This 352-nucleotide unclassified non-coding RNA is filed under the name Hevea brasiliensis (rubber tree). The record is from RNAcentral. Lineage: Eukaryota; Viridiplantae; Streptophyta; Magnoliopsida; Malpighiales; Euphorbiaceae.